UUGAUCUCACCUAUCAGGAUCCUCCUCGAUCUCAGAAUAAACAAGCCUUGGUUGCAGCUAGUAAUAGCGGCUGGGAGAAUGACUGGCAUGCGGACACAGGUGCCACUCACCAUAUCACACAUGAUAUGGCCAAUCUGAACCUACAAAGUGAUGACUAUGAUGGUACAGACCAACUUCAGGUUGGCAAUGGUCAAGGAUUACUCGGCGAACGUCCUUCAUCACGGCCAAGUCAGUAAUGGUUUAUACCAUUUUUCCAAAACCAACGUUCAUCCUCAAGCCCUUUCAAGUAUUCGUGUUUGCUUUGAUCAGUGGCAUUGUCGACUUGGCCAUGUUGCUCCUCAAGUUGUUCAACGUGUUAUGUCCUUCCAUAAGCUUCCAGUUGAUAAAAUAAAGAGGCACGUUGUGUGCUCCGAUUGCCAAUUAGCCAAGAGCCAUGCUUUACCAUUUAGCAAUUCUACUUAUAUUUCUCAUGCUCCCUUAGACCUAAUUUUUACAGAUGUAUGGGGUCCGGCUUCUGUAGCCUCAACUACAGGUGCUCAGUACUAUGUUAGCUUUCUAGAUAAUUUUUCAAAAUAUUUAUGGUUCUUUCCAAUUAAAUUAAAGUCUGAUGUUGAGGGUGUUUUUCUUCAA
Carya illinoinensis is the source of this 630-nucleotide long non-coding RNA. RefSeq lists it as uncharacterized. The transcript is spliced from 2 exons. The record is from RefSeq and is a predicted model, not a curated record. NCBI's taxonomy places the organism in Eukaryota, Viridiplantae, Streptophyta, Magnoliopsida, Fagales, Juglandaceae.